AUUCUGAAUUUGUCUUAUUGUUUGCUCAUGAUGUUAUUAACUUCCCUUUCUCCUCAAUUCCCUGUGAUCUAGAAAAGCUAGGUCUCAAGGCUUGAUUGGAUUCAGGUUAAAUAUUUUUGACAAGAAUACUUCAGAGAUGUUGUGAACUUCGUGUUGCAUCAUAUCAGGAGAACAUGCUGUCAGACUGCCACGCUCUUACUGAUGUUAAGUUUGAUUACUUGGCUAAGGGCAUCACACCUACCUAUUGUGAUAAAACUAAAACUGUUCCACGGCUGUUAAGCUGCAUCAUAAAGCUUCACUGAGGAAUUAGGGCAUUAGUUGAGUAUGAAAAAAGUAAUAAUGCCAUGAAAUGAAGACACCCCUUGAAAACAGAAAUUUCCAAAGGGCAAUAUAUUCAUGGUCUACAAUUUACACACGGAGACAAAACACACCUUAGGAACCACAACACAAUGUCAGUACCAAGAGAAGGAUGCAAACAACUCUUCAGGAGCAACUGAAUGGGCAUCAGGGCUGCCUGCCCCACCGCCGACAUCUGGUUGCCCCCACCCACCGUGUCGCAGUCCUGCUGUGUUGCUGGCCUUGCUUCAGCUCCAGGCAAGCUUCCAGAAAUCAUGGCCUGCACACCUGAAGUGAGCAGAUCUCUGUCUACUUGUCCUUUAAAUGGACACUGCUUUUUCUGUUGGGAAGACAGAUAAAUGUAUCGGAGGCUCUUGGAUGACAGUAUUGUCCUGGCAGGGGUCCAGGGUGGCUGGGAAGAGAGAGAGAGCAUUUAAUGGGUCUGGCAGCAGAGCAGUCGAGGUGUGGCUGCCUGUAGCAGGGGACGAGGACCUCUGGCGAUGACAUUAUCUGAGCUUGGGUGGGCUCUCAGCUCAAGUUGCAGAUGGCCAGGCACCUCUGGCUGGCAGCCAGCCAGUUGACAGAUUACAUUCUGUAACCAUGAGGUAAGUUUGGAAGAAGGUUAAGAAAAGCAGUUAUUCUUUAGUCAGUCACUUGGGUGUUGCCUGUGUCCCCAUAACAUCUUAAAUUCGGGAAGCACAGGGAAUCUAUGUCUUGCUUGCCUUUAUGCCAUUACCCUAACCUCUGGCACACGUGAGCUUCCUCUUGCCUUUAGGAACACACUCCAGGAUCUUACAAUGGCCUAAUGUCACCACUACCCCCUCACCCUCCCCAAAUUUCAUCUUCUUCCCCAUCUCCAGCUUCUCCUCCUGCCUUGCUUCCCCUUCAUACACAGAUUGGAUAGAAGUUCUGACUCCUGAAGUGGCCCUUCAGAGCUUAUUCUCCAGCCCUUUCCACAGCACUCAGCACCAUGAACUGCAGCUCUCUCUCCCUUGGCUUCUGGAACUCACUCUCUCCUGGGCUUGGUUCCUUGAGCGAUUCUUCUCAGGCGACUCUUUAAAUGUCUGUUUCCCUCUGAGCCCUGUCCAGGGCUCUCUGCUUUAUUUCUUACUCUCCAUGUCCUGCCUGGGUCCUUCAUUCAAAUUUACAACUACAACCUCUGCUUCUGUCUCCAGCCCAGCUCUCUCUCCCAAACUCCACAUAUUAUAUAACUCCACCAGCCCAGCCCACAGGUACACUGAACUCAAUGGGGCCAAGACAGGGGACAAGCUCCAAAUGGGAUUCCUCUCUUUCUAAAGAACACCAGCAUCUAUAAGCCAGAAACCUGCCAGUCAUCCUAGAAUCCUCUGGGUAUACAUCUUAUGUGACAGUCACCAUUAUUAAGAUGUUGCCAUCUGAAUAUGUGACAUACUUAACCCUUUCUUCAAACCUUCCAUCACAGUGUGUCAUUGUUUGGUACCCCUCAUGUGAAAGACGCCCUGCUGCCUCUUCCCCUCCAAGCCAGCCUGAGUGAGUUGCCCUGCCUCUGGGACCCAAUAGCACCAAUAGCCUUCAGCCCCUUCUUCUACUGUAGAACUUAUGACUAAAUAUUUUAAUCAUGUGUUUCCUUCUUCCUCUCCUAUACUAGGCUGUGAUUUCCUCCAGGACGACUGUGUCAUAACAGUUUUGAAAUCUCCAACAAACAGCGUACAUAGGGCCUGGCACACAGUAGUUACAAAAUCAGUGUUUGUUGCAUGAAUUAUUCAACAAAAGGGUGACAAAACUAUAGUAUAGUUUUAUACUAUAAAAGUUCAUUGAUACAUUUUGGUCCACAUAGAAAAGAAGAGAAAAAAACCACUGACAGUCCCAUCACCCAACUGAACUAUAAUCACACUUGGGUAUAUUUUCUUAUCUUUACUUCUAUGGGUAAGAUUUAUUUUUACCUAAGUAUAAUCAUACUGCACUUGUAAUUUUGAAUCCUGCUUUUCUACUACAAAUAUAUAUUUUUCAUAUUAUUAAAUAUUUUUCCAGCUUUC
Aethalodelphis obliquidens (Pacific white-sided dolphin) is the source of this 2351-nucleotide long non-coding RNA. RefSeq lists it as uncharacterized. The record is from RefSeq and is a predicted model, not a curated record. The transcript is spliced from 3 exons. Lineage: Eukaryota; Metazoa; Chordata; Mammalia; Artiodactyla; Delphinidae.